UCUUCCAUGGGGGGAGCCCUGCGCCCUGUGCCCUGCCCUCCCCUCUCCGGCUCCCUGAGAUUCGGGGGCUCUGGGGCGCAGGCCAUGUGGAGGAUGUGCUGCUCAUCAUGGAUGUGUACAAAUUGGCACUGAGCUUCCAGUUGUGCCGCCUGGAGCAGCUGUGCCGCCAGUACAUCGAGGCCUCCGUGGACCUGCAGAACGUGCUGGUCGUGUGCGAGAGUGCCGCCCGGCUGCAGCUGAGCCAACUCAAGGUGAUCAUGAUGAAGGAGUUCGAGCGCCUCUCCUCUCCACUGAUAGUGGAGAUUGUGCGGCGGAAGCAGCAGCCGCCCCCUCGCACUCCCUUGGACCAGCCAGUGGACAUUGGCACAUCUCUGAUCCAGGACAUGAAGGCAUACCUGGAGGGAGCGGGCGCGGAAUUCUGUGACAUCACUCUGUUGCUUGACGGGCACCCACGGCCAGCCCACAAGGCUAUCCUGGCCGCCCGCUCCAGCUACUUUGAAGCCAUGUUCCGGUCCUUCAUGCCCGAG
This 527-nucleotide small RNA is filed under the name Pan troglodytes (chimpanzee). RNAcentral's name for it is "retained intron". Lineage: Eukaryota; Metazoa; Chordata; Mammalia; Primates; Hominidae. The record is from RNAcentral.